This 82-nucleotide transfer RNA is filed under the name Echinostoma caproni. It matches the Rfam family "tRNA". Rfam says of the family: Transfer RNA (tRNA) molecules are approximately 80 nucleotides in length. Lineage: Eukaryota; Metazoa; Platyhelminthes; Trematoda; Plagiorchiida; Echinostomatidae. The record is from Rfam by way of RNAcentral.
AGCCUCACAGCUCAGCUGGUAGAGCGUACGCGUACAAAGAGUAGGUGAUGUCUAUACGUGGGUUCGAAUCCUGCCGAGGCUA